This 465-nucleotide ribosomal RNA is filed under the name uncultured Klebsiella sp. RNAcentral's name for it is "bacterial SSU rRNA". It matches the Rfam family "Bacterial small subunit ribosomal RNA", at positions 338 to 795 of the family's 1533-position model. Lineage: Bacteria; Pseudomonadati; Pseudomonadota; Gammaproteobacteria; Enterobacterales; Enterobacteriaceae. The record is from RNAcentral.
CCUACGGGUGGCAGCAGUGGGGAAUAUUGCACAAUGGGCGCAAGCCUGAUGCAGCCAUGCCGCGUGUGUGAAGAAGGCCUUCGGGUUGUAAAGCACUUUCAGCGGGGAGGAAGGCGGUGAGGUUAAUAACCUCAUCGAUUGACGUUACCCGCAGAGGAAGCACCGGCUAACUCCGUGCCAGCAGCCGCGGUAAUACGGAGGGUGCAAGCGUUAAUCGGAAUUACUGGGCGUAAAGCGCACGCAGGCGGUCUGUCAAGUCGGAUGUGAAAUCCCCGGGCUCAACCUGGGAACUGCAUUCGAAACUGGCAGGCUAGAGUCUUGUAGAGGGGGGUAGAAUUCCAGGUGUAGCGGUGAAAUGCGUAGAGAUCUGGAGGAAUACCGGUGGCGAAGGCGGCCCCCUGGACAAAGACUGACGCUCAGGUGCGAAAGCGUGGGGAGCAAACAGGAUUAGAUACCCCUGUAGUC